This 490-nucleotide ribosomal RNA is filed under the name uncultured bacterium. RNAcentral describes it as "bacterial SSU rRNA". It matches the Rfam family "Bacterial small subunit ribosomal RNA", at positions 1 to 507 of the family's 1533-position model. The record is from RNAcentral.
UACGAGUUUGAUCAUGGCUCAGGAUGAACGCUAGCGGCAGGCUUAAUACAUGCAAGUCAAGGGGGUAGCAAUACUACCGGCGCACGGGUGAGUAACACGUACAUAACAUACCAUAUACUGGGGUAUAGCUUUGGGAAACUGAAGGUAAUCCCCCAUAACAUUGCGAGAGGGCAUCUGAUUGCAAUUAAAGUUUCGACGGUAUAUGAUUGAUGUGCGUUUGAUUAGCUUGUUGGUAGGGUAACGGCCUACCAAGGCGACGAUCAAUAGCUGGCGUGAGAGCGCGACCAGCCACACUGGAACUGAGACACGGUCCAGACUCCUACGGGAGGCAGCAGUAGGGAAUAUUGGACAAUGGGCGAAAGCCUGAUCCAGCCAUGCCGCGUGAUAGAUGAAGGCCCUCUGGGUUGUAAAUAUCUUUUAUCUGGGAAGAAACAAUCUUAUUCUUAAGAUCUUGACGGUACCAGAGGAAUAAGCACCGGCUAACUCCGUG